GAUUAAUCGGAUAUUUGUUUUUUUUUUAUUACAGAAAGGAAACCUGGUGAAGGGGAUGAAGGAUGGUCAACGGUCAAAUACAAAUAACUCUGGACAACUAUAACAUACUGGACAGUGGAAUUUAUUACAAUCUUUUUAUUGACCAACUCAUAUUUAUUGAACACUUCUUAUUGGACAACUUUACCAUAAUGAAUGACUAAUCUUAUUCAACAACUGUCAGAUAUUGAUCAUGUAAUAAUAUUAAACCACUAAUAACUUCUUCUUGGACAACUUUACCAAAAUGAAUGAUUCUUCUUAUAAGACAACUGUCAGAUACUGAGCAUGUUAAAUUAAACAACUGUGAAAUACUGAAAUCUUCUUAUUGGUCAAUCUGAUGCUGAUUACUUCUUCUUUAAUAUACUAUAAGUUGAUUUUGAAUACAAUUUAACAUAGACUUACUUCCACUAUUUUUACAAAGCAAACAACUUAAUAUUGAACAGCUGUGCUAUACAGAACAUUUGAUACAAACAUUGUACAGUACUACACACUUACAAAAAAAUCAGUUAUUUAUUGUCAUUUUAAGCUGUAGCAUACAUGUAUGUGUGUCUUGUUGUAUUUCAUUUUUAUUGCCGUUUUUGAAAUUAUUGUUUGGAGAGUAGAUGGGCAUUCAUUCUUUAAAAUGAAUUAUUGGUGCAUUGUACAUUGCUAUAUUUCCCAUUAAAUCUUAUAAAAAUAUUUAGAAUUCUGAAAACAAAACAAAAUAUAUUGUGGGUUUGGAAUUUAAGUGCCCUCCUAAAUAUAUAUACACAUUGAAUAAUGGUAAUCUACAUUUAUAUUUUCUAGAUUAUUCAACAACUAGAUGCAUGUAUAUGAUAAAUUUGUAGGAACAGUUAUUAUAAUUUAUUAAUGUUGUUAAUGGUUUUCUUUGUCAUUUGAAAUGUAUGGCUAUUACAAAAUUUAUGUAAUUGAAGUGCUAAUUGUUAAAUAAUUAUGACAUUGAUUGUAAAAUAAAUUUUAAUUGCACAAUUUGUAUCAGUUGUCCUCCGGCAUGUCUAUUCUACUGGAAAUUAUACCCCAACAGUAAUAGGGAAACUGAUAAAAUUGAGAAUGAAAAUGAGGAAUAUGUCAAAGAGACAACAACCCGACAAAAGAGCAGAAAACAGCCAAAGGCCACCAAUAGGUUUUCCACAUAAUGGGUAAAAUCCUGCACCCUGAGGCUGGCCUUCAAAUAAAAAUGGGCACAAAAAUGUUGCAAGGUUAAACAUGGUUGGUGAAAUCUCCCUCUAUACCUCUAGCCUAUGUAGAAUCAACAAACACGCACAAUAUGCACAGUAAAACUCAGUUUUAAAGAAGUCCGAGUCUGAUGUCAUAACAGGCAACAAAAGAAACUAAGCAAAAUGUCAUUGAUAAAUAAAUUAACAAAGGACUAAACAGACAUGAUUUCCUGCUAUUUCAAAGUUCUUUAAGCUUUGCACAUUUUUUAGUCUCCUACUGACAAAAUCUUAAGGUUUGCACUCCGUCUGUCUGUGAGUCCAGCAAGUCAGUUUUCCACACUUUAUUAGUCCCCUACUGACAAAGUUUUGAUUUGAUAUUUUUAUCAUGACAAGUAAAAAGUUCGAUUUUCAUGAUUUUAGCUC
RNAcentral lists this long non-coding RNA (1616 nucleotides) under Mytilus galloprovincialis (Mediterranean mussel). Lineage: Eukaryota; Metazoa; Mollusca; Bivalvia; Mytilida; Mytilidae. The record is from RNAcentral.